RNAcentral lists this long non-coding RNA (1048 nucleotides) under Olea europaea subsp. europaea. Lineage: Eukaryota; Viridiplantae; Streptophyta; Magnoliopsida; Lamiales; Oleaceae. The record is from RNAcentral.
CACAAAUUAACAAUUUUUUAGGUUACACAUUAUUUCUUGAUCAUAGCUUAUUUCUUUUGUUGGUCACAAAUUAACCAGUUUAAUGGUCACAAUCAACCAAAUAAUUUAUUACUAUCUUCAACGCUUGUAAUCAUCACUUCACCGCUGCCUCCAACAACAUCAUCGCCUCCGUUGUAGCUAGAACCAUCAUCACCUACAACAAAUCUAAUACAUUGCCCAAAAAAAAAAAAAAAAAAAAAAAACCAACAAAGCAUUGCGCUAGAUCCACCGCCACCUCACCACCACAUCCACCGAUGAAUCACCAUUUUCAACCACAAAACCAUCAUGUGUCAACACAUCCAUGCCAGAUUCACCACCAGCUCUACCUCCAUCUCCACUGACAAAAGCCACCUACCACCAAAUCCACCAUCAAUCUAACGCCAUCACACCUAACUAAUUGGUUACAAAAUACCUUCAGAACCAUUGCCUGGCCACCACAGCACCUGCAAACUCACCACACCACCAUCGAGCACAUAGCCAUCGCCACCGCUACAGCCAUCUCUUUUAUCCCAAUCUACACAACACAACACCACAACCACCACCCCUGCCAAAAAAUUCACAAACUCGCCGCCGCCGCCACACACUAAUAUCUCCUGCACUACCACCGCAAAAACCAACGUAAUAAGAUAAAAGUAGUGACCCGAAAAACCUCCAUCGUCGAUUGCCACACCACAAAAGCAGCAAGUGGUGUUGUAAUCUCAAUGCAUAAGCCAAGCAAAUGGCGUCCAGAGCGUGAGGGCAGCAUCAGCAACGUCGUGUGAGCGCAGUGCCAAUGGCAUCGUGUGAGCAUGGGGCCGGCAACAUGGGGAUAAAGAGAAAGAAAGGGGAGAAGCGAGAUAUAGAGAGAGAGAGAGAGAGAGAAAUGAGGGGUAAAUUGAUUAGGAUUUGGAAUGAAAACUGUAUAUUUAAUAUUUAAAUAUGAAAUAUCUGUUUUUUGAAAUGUGAAACUUUUUAUCUGAUUUUGGAACACAUCUUUAAAAAGAGGGCGAGGUGAACAAACAAUGAUAAG